Molecule: ribosomal RNA, 253 nt
Filed under: uncultured bacterium
Lineage: Bacteria
Description: partial 16S ribosomal RNA
Rfam family: Bacterial small subunit ribosomal RNA
Source: RNAcentral
UACAGAGGUCCCGAGCGUUGUUCGGAUUCAUUGGGCGUAAAGGGCGCGUAGGCGGCCAUGCGUGUCUUCCGUGAAAUCCCUCGGCUUAACUGAGGACGUGCGGAAGAAACUGCAAGGCUUGAGUCCGGGAGAGGGGGGUGGAAUUCCCAGUGUAGCGGUGAAAUGCGUAGAUAUUGGGAGGAACACCGGUGGCGAAGGCGGCCCCCUGGACCGGUACUGACGCUGAGGCGCGAAAGCGUGGGUAGCAAACGGG